CGCCGUAGUGAGCCCCCCCCCCCAACACCAACAAACAUCAUCUCCACACACACACAGCGCUUGGAGAGGGGGGCACUUGAGUCGGAUGUCUCGACGGGCGGAGAUUCUAGAAGAUCUCCGCGAGGAGUGAUGUGCUUGGAGGAAGCUGCACGAUGGUGGCAGCUGCCGCGCCCGGAGAUCGAACCCGGCAAAGUCACUGCUGACCAAUUGGCCUACAACAGAGACAGCCUUCUUCUUCGUGGCCUUGUCUCCCGCCACCAGUGUCCGACCAAAGAACAUCAACAGGCGAACAAGCACAAAGACAAUCAAUGCACGUAUCGGAUCAUUUAUAGCUCGUGGCCACCUCAAGCUAUCGCCAUCCCUCAGUCCUGCAUUGCUGCUGUAGUCCCAUCUUGUUCCGGCACAGGAGCUGACCUCAUCGCUCCAUGGGUUAAGAUACGCGGUAAAGGCAAAGCGUGCCGAUAAUUCCGUCGCCGACAACGGGGCAAAGGGCCAGCACGCCGAGACUCGGCGCGCUGAGCUUCCGCCAUUUCAUCAAGAUGCAAAUCCGUAGAUAUGGCGACGUGAGAGGCGGCUAAUCCCCCCC
Lethenteron reissneri (Far Eastern brook lamprey) is the source of this 586-nucleotide long non-coding RNA. RefSeq lists it as uncharacterized. The record is from RefSeq and is a predicted model, not a curated record. Lineage: Eukaryota; Metazoa; Chordata; Hyperoartia; Petromyzontiformes; Petromyzontidae.